RNAcentral lists this ribosomal RNA (588 nucleotides) under Salmonella enterica subsp. enterica serovar Infantis. RNAcentral's name for it is "bacterial SSU rRNA". It matches the Rfam family "Bacterial small subunit ribosomal RNA", at positions 1 to 578 of the family's 1533-position model. RNAcentral also lists the same sequence under 1 other name. The record is from RNAcentral. Lineage: Bacteria; Pseudomonadati; Pseudomonadota; Gammaproteobacteria; Enterobacterales; Enterobacteriaceae.
AAAUUGAAGAGUUUGAUCAUGGCUCAGAUUGAACGCUGGCGGCAGGCCUAACACAUGCAAGUCGAACGGUAACAGGAAGCAGCUUGCUGCUUCGCUGACGAGUGGCGGACGGGUGAGUAAUGUCUGGGAAACUGCCUGAUGGAGGGGGAUAACUACUGGAAACGGUGGCUAAUACCGCAUAACGUCGCAAGACCAAAGAGGGGGACCUUCGGGCCUCUUGCCAUCAGAUGUGCCCAGAUGGGAUUAGCUUGUUGGUGAGGUAACGGCUCACCAAGGCGACGAUCCCUAGCUGGUCUGAGAGGAUGACCAGCCACACUGGAACUGAGACACGGUCCAGACUCCUACGGGAGGCAGCAGUGGGGAAUAUUGCACAAUGGGCGCAAGCCUGAUGCAGCCAUGCCGCGUGUAUGAAGAAGGCCUUCGGGUUGUAAAGUACUUUCAGCGGGGAGGAAGGUGUUGCGGUUAAUAACCGCAGCAAUUGACGUUACCCGCAGAAGAAGCACCGGCUAACUCCGUGCCAGCAGCCGCGGUAAUACGGAGGGUGCAAGCGUUAAUCGGAAUUACUGGGCGUAAAGCGCACGCAGGCGG